RNAcentral lists this transfer RNA (73 nucleotides) under Thoburnia atripinnis (blackfin sucker). RNAcentral describes it as "tRNA-His". It matches the Rfam family "tRNA". Rfam says of the family: Transfer RNA (tRNA) molecules are approximately 80 nucleotides in length. Their secondary structure includes four short double-helical elements and three loops (D, anti-codon, and T loops). Further hydrogen bonds mediate the characteristic L-shaped molecular structure. tRNAs have two regions of fundamental functional importance: the anti-codon, which is responsible for specific mRNA codon recognition, and the 3' end, to which the tRNAs corresponding amino acid is attached (by aminoacyl-tRNA synthetases). tRNAs cope with the degeneracy of the genetic code in two manners: having more than one tRNA (with a specific anti-codon) for a particular amino acid; and 'wobble' base-pairing, i.e. permitting non-standard base-pairing at the 3rd anti-codon position. Lineage: Eukaryota; Metazoa; Chordata; Actinopteri; Cypriniformes; Catostomidae. The record is from RNAcentral.
GUAGGUAUAGUUUAAGUCAAAACACUAGAUUGUGAUUCUAGAAAUAGAGGUUAAAAUCCUCUUACCCACCGAG